Molecule: long non-coding RNA, 284 nt
Filed under: Ananas comosus (pineapple)
Lineage: Eukaryota; Viridiplantae; Streptophyta; Magnoliopsida; Poales; Bromeliaceae
Description: long non-coding RNA (ACOM_LNC019836)
Source: RNAcentral
UCUCCGAUUGCUUGUUGACACUUGCAAUCGGUCUCCCGCGGCACCCGCUAUCCGACUCGGCCCAACCUUGCAAUCGCACACCAACCUGCGUCUCCUCGCGGCCCCGAAAAUUAUAGGUCUUCAUUUAUUUGCUACGGUGCUCGGGAUCCAACCUCGUGAUUUUUGGACAUCGCCUCGGCCCUCCAGGCGAAAACGAAGCUCAAACAGUCCUUUUCUUCAAUAUCUUUGCACAAGCUCGACGGAUCGCCGAACCGACUUCUCCAAUGCGUCAAAAUACCUAGCAA